Molecule: long non-coding RNA, 1306 nt
Organism: Aethina tumida (small hive beetle)
Lineage: Eukaryota; Metazoa; Arthropoda; Insecta; Coleoptera; Nitidulidae
Exons: 2
Source: RefSeq, a predicted model, not a curated record
GCUGGUGUCCUGCGAAUUCACCAUAACAACCGUCAGUGACUCAGUAAUGGGUACUACAUCUAACGAUUCGUUUAAGUUGGUGGAUACAAUGACAUCCACAGAACGUACAUUAUUCAGACUUUAUAGUUCAUAACUCCACGUCACCUGGAAAUAGCUCUAGACUGAUAAAUGCACCGUCUUGCCCAGAAAAGAACCGAAACAGAGGCCUCAUUGUUGUUCGUAUCGACGGUGAAAUAGUGCCGGUAUUUAUCAGACCGAGGGAAGAUAUCGCGCUUUGUAGGAGGUUGAAAAAUAUUUCGUAAUAUAUUAGUUUCGUUCGUUGUAGGUGUUCCACGUGCAACGCUUUGUAUGGUAAUUGUGGCGGUUUUUAACCGUACCAUCGAAACGCAAUAAACAAAAUUGAAAAGUCACUUUUCUCUCGCAUAAAAAGCGUGCGCCCCGGAGCCAAACCCGCCGCCAAAUAUGGCCACAAUCCGAAAGAGACUAGAGUCGGGUCCGUUUCGGAUAAUUUCUCGCAACCUUCGCCGGAUUCUAGAUUAACGCCAAUACGAAUGAUAAUUACGCACACAACGAAAGAAUGCCGGCACUAAAACGGUCGCCAGAUCAGCUGGAAAAGGAAUCUCGCAUCACGGCAUAAUAUGUGGGAAAUAUGUUAAUGUUCCGGGCAAAUACAAAACAACAACAGGUGGUUUCUGUGUUUAUGGAGAGCCACAGUAUGUGUUUUGCAUGGCUUUAAGGCCAACGUUAUUGUUUCCAUCACGAAUGACAUCCAAGAACUAUUCGUACUGUUCUGUGAUUUUUAAUUGUUGCCGGGUAACACACGUCAGCAGCACCGAGCACCGUUGUACAGCAGGAGGAACGUUUUUGCAUACUCCGGUCAUACGCUUUGAUAAAUGGUUGCAGCAGGACUCGAUACCAUUCGAUUAAUCAGAACAAGACAGGACUGUAUGAACUAAAACGUGUGGGCUGAUUCAAUACACGUGCUAAAAAAAUACAACCUCGUUCACCCACACACACAUUCAUUGUAGAAAAUGUUGUUAAAUACAGAUGCAGAAAUUGAUAAUGGAGUAAUUAAUCAUGCAAAUUAAGUCUAUUUAUAUUUUGUUUUAGGUUGGGCGCCACUCAAUGGGAUUUGCAGUGAUUUUUACCACAUAAUUGACUGUUUCAGGAGCUGUUAUCCAUCAUUACAUCAUUGCUCUAAUUUUAACUUAAGUUAUUAAUGUAAUUAAAAUAGCAGAUCGUUACAUAAUAGUGUUUAUGGCUUAUAAUAAUAAAUAAAAUUGAUAGAAGUUGCCCAUAAAAACAA